NNNNACUAAAAUUGGAAUGAUACAGAGAAGAUUAGCAUGGCCCCUGCACAAGGAAGACAUGCAAAUUCAUAAAGCGUUCCAUAUUAAA
RNAcentral lists this small nuclear RNA (88 nucleotides) under Capra hircus (goat). Lineage: Eukaryota; Metazoa; Chordata; Mammalia; Artiodactyla; Bovidae. The record is from RNAcentral.